GACGAACGCUGGCGGCGUGCUUAACACAUGCAAGUCGAACGGAAAGGCCCUGCUUUUGUGGGGUGCUCGAGUGGCGAACGGGUGCGUAACACGUGAGUAACCUGCCCUUGUCUUUGGGAUAACUUCAGGAAACUGGGGCUACUACCGUAUAGCAGCUCCUGCUGCAUGGUGGGGGUUGGAACGUCUCGGCGGUUGGGGUUGGACUCGCGGCUUACCAGCUUGCUGGUGGGGUAGUGGCUUACCAAGGCUUUGACGGGUAGCCGGCCUGGGAGGGUGACCGGCCACAUAGGGACUGGGGUACGACCCAGACUGCUACGGGGGGCAGCGGUGGGGAAUAUUGCACGAUGGGCGGAGGCCUGAUGCAGCAACGCCGCGUGCGGGAGGACGUCCGUCGGGUAGGAAACGGCUUUCGCCUGUGACGAAGCGUGAGUGACGGAACUGGAUAAAGAGGCACCGCCUAACUACUU
Molecule: ribosomal RNA, 467 nt
Filed under: uncultured bacterium
Lineage: Bacteria
Description: partial 16S ribosomal RNA
Rfam family: Bacterial small subunit ribosomal RNA
Source: RNAcentral